This 196-nucleotide ribosomal RNA is filed under the name uncultured bacterium. RNAcentral describes it as "partial 16S ribosomal RNA". It matches the Rfam family "Bacterial small subunit ribosomal RNA", at positions 326 to 537 of the family's 1533-position model. The record is from RNAcentral.
ACGCUCGACACCUACGGGAUGCAGCAGUGGGGAAUAUUGCACAAUGGGGGAAACCCUGAUGCAGCGACGCCGCGUGAGUGAAGAAGUAUUUCGGUAUGUAAAGCUCUAUCAGCAGGGAAGAAAAUGACGGUACCUGAGUAAGAAGCCCCGGCUAACUACGUGCCAGCACGCCGGAGUAUCNGNGGCGGNGUGAGAG